UACGAAGGGGGCUAGCGUUGCUCGGAAUCACUGGGCGUAAAGCGCACGUAGGCGGAUCGUUAAGUCAGGGGUGAAAUCCCGGAGCUCAACUCCGGAACUGCCUUUGAUACUGGCGAUCUUGAGUUCGAGAGAGGUGAGUGGAACUGCGAGUGUAGAGGUGAAAUUCGUAGAUAUUCGCAAGAACACCAGUGGCGAAGGCGGCUCACUGGCUCGAUACUGACGCUGAGGUGCGAAAGCGUGGGGAGCAAACAGG
This 253-nucleotide ribosomal RNA is filed under the name uncultured bacterium. RNAcentral's name for it is "partial 16S ribosomal RNA". It matches the Rfam family "Bacterial small subunit ribosomal RNA", at positions 524 to 776 of the family's 1533-position model. The record is from RNAcentral.